This 579-nucleotide long non-coding RNA is filed under the name Medicago truncatula (barrel medic). Its description in RNAcentral is "long non-coding RNA (MTRU_LNC005595)". Lineage: Eukaryota; Viridiplantae; Streptophyta; Magnoliopsida; Fabales; Fabaceae. The record is from RNAcentral.
AAAAGCGGAGCGAUUGUUUUUUGAGAAGCCUCCUAAGGUGCCAAAUUGAUACAAAUGGUCUGACACAUGUUCAGGAAACACUAUGUGGUAACUAAGCCAAUGAGAAAUAUCAUACCAAAGUUUACCAAAAAAAUCACAAGAGAGGAAUAAGUGUUUUGCAUCCUCCAUCAUGCCGCAUCCACCCAGGCAUAAUCGAGCAUUUGGAAGUAAAAUGUGUCUUUUAAUUAGAUUGUCCGUUGUUGGUAAUCUAUCCCGCAAUAGACGCCAAGCAAAGAGACUAAUUUUCAGGGGCACUUCCUUGUUCCAGAUUUCUGACGUGUGAGUUGCUGACAAGUUGUUGCUGAUUGGUGUUAACAGAUGGUUACAAGCACUUGUGACAUUAUAUAGUUGUUGGAAGCAUGUAAGUGCCAAAUCCACCUGUCAGAAUGAUUAGGCUGCAAAACAAUAUUAGUUAAAAUAUCACAACACUCCCGCACCUUCUCCUCCUCCCAAGCAAACAAACGACGCCGCCACUUCCAAGCUUCCCCCUCUUCUCCCCACCCAAGCGAAUACAUUUCAGCCACCGUUGCCAUUUUAUUA